Leopardus geoffroyi (Geoffroy's cat) is the source of this 586-nucleotide long non-coding RNA. RefSeq lists it as uncharacterized. The record is from RefSeq and is a predicted model, not a curated record. The transcript has 3 exons. Lineage: Eukaryota; Metazoa; Chordata; Mammalia; Carnivora; Felidae.
GGGGGGGGCGGGGGGGGAGGUGCGGUCAGCCACUUCCGCUGGCCAGCGACCCCGCACGCGCCCCCAGAGCCACGGGCGCCGAUUGGCCGGAGCCCACGUGCCCUAAGUGGGUGGGUCCACCCGCAAAACCCUGGCGCUGUCCUCCGCCGCCUCCGCAGCCAGCUGCCUCCGCCCCAGAAGGAGCAGGACUUUUCCCCUUGGGCUUCCCCUUUGACUGCCUUGACCCCGGGGAAAUUUGGAAGGAGCGACUCCCUACUACCCACAGCCCAUUUGGCCUCCCUGCAAAGAAGGAAGGAUGAGAAGGCGGAGGCACCAGGCUUAUUUCCACAGCAUCCUAGGAUGGCAGAGAUGCUGCCCACCAUUUGUUCAGGUCCAUCUGUAAACGAUGAGAGAGAAUCUUCUCUUGCUCCGCGCAGGAGAGUAAACAAGAUUUUGUGUGCAGCCAUUUCUCAUCUUCAUCACUGCUCAUUCCCUGGCCCGAGCCACCAUCACCUAGUGCCAGGACUUUGUGGCAGUCCCCUAACUGGUCCCCUGCUUCCAGUCUUGCCCCUGCUAUAGUCUGUUCUCCAUACAGCAGCCAGGAGGA